AUUGAACGCUGGCGGCAGGCCUAACACAUGCAAGUCGAGCGAAUGAAGGGAGCUUGCUCCUGGACUCAGCGGCGGACGGGUGAGUGAUGCCUAGGAAUCUGCCUGGUCGUGGGGGAUAACGUCAGGACACGGGCGCUAAUACCGCAUACGUCCUGAGGGCGAACGUGGGGGAUCUUCGGAGCUCACGCUAUCUGCUGAGCCUAGGUCGGGUUAGCUAGUUGGUGGGGUAAAGGCCUACCAAGGCGACGAUCCGUAACUGGUCUGAGAGGAUGAUCAGUCACACUGGAACUGAGACACGGUCCAGACUCCUACGGGAGGCAGCAGUAGGGAAUAUUGGACAAUGGGCGAAAGCCUGAUCCAGCCAUGCCGCGUGUGUGAAGAAGGUCUUCGGAUUGUAAAGCACUUUAAGUUGGGAGGAAGGGCAGUAAGUUAAUACCUUGCUGUUUUGACGUUACCAACAGAAUAAGCACCGGCUAACUUCGUG
This 484-nucleotide ribosomal RNA is filed under the name uncultured bacterium. RNAcentral describes it as "partial 16S ribosomal RNA". It matches the Rfam family "Bacterial small subunit ribosomal RNA", at positions 30 to 507 of the family's 1533-position model. The record is from RNAcentral.